CAUGCAGUCGAACGAGGUCCAUGGAGCUUGCUCCGGAAGACCUAGUGGCGAACGGGUGCGUAACACGUGAGAAAUCUGCCCCGGACUCUGGAAUAACAGUUGGAAACGACUGCUAAUACCGGAUGCCUUCAUUUGGCCGCAUGGUCGUUUGAAGAAAGAUUUAUCGGUUUGGGAGGAUCUCGCGGCCUAUCAGCUUGUUGGAGAGGUAACGGCUCACCAAGGCAUCGACGGGUAGCUGGUCUGAGAGGAUGAUCAGCCACACUGGAACCGAGACACGGUCCAGACUCCUACGGGAGGCAGCAGUGGGGAAUCUUGCACAAUGGGCGAAAGCCUGAUGCAGCGAUGCCGCGUGCGGGAAGAAGGCCCUAGGGUUGUAAACCGCUUUCAGGAGGGAAGAAAAUGACGGUACCUCCAGAAGAAGGUGCGGCCAACUACGUGCCAGCAGCCGCGGUGACACGUAGGCACCAAGCGUUAUCCGGAUUUAUUGGGCGUAAAGAGCUCGUAGGCGGUUUGGUAAGUCGGGUGUGAAAACUCUGGGCUCAACCCAGAGAGGCCACUCGAUACUGCUAUGACUAGAGUACGGUAGGGGAGCGGGGAAUUCCUGGUGUAGCGGUGAAAUGCGCAGAUAUCAGGAGGAACACCAGCGGCGAAGGCGCCGCUCUGGGCCGUAACUGACGCUGAGGAGCGAAAGCAUGGGUAGCAAACAGGAUUAGAUACCCUGGUAGUCCAUGCCGUAAACGUUGGGCACUAGGUGUGGGUCUCAACCAACGAGAUCCGCGCCGUCGCUAACGCAUUAAGUGCCCCGCCUGGGGAGUACGGUCGCAAGACUAAAACUCAAAGGAAUUGACGGGGGCCCGCACAAGCAGCGGAGCGUGUGGUU
Molecule: ribosomal RNA, 880 nt
Filed under: uncultured bacterium
Lineage: Bacteria
Description: bacterial SSU rRNA
Rfam family: Bacterial small subunit ribosomal RNA
Source: RNAcentral